Molecule: ribosomal RNA, 467 nt
Filed under: uncultured bacterium
Lineage: Bacteria
Description: partial 16S ribosomal RNA
Rfam family: Bacterial small subunit ribosomal RNA
Source: RNAcentral
GACGAACGCUGGCGGCGUGCUUAACACAUGCAAGUCGAACGGAAAGGCCCUGCUUUUGUGGGGUGCUCGAGUGGCGAACGGGUGAGUAACACGUGAGUAACCUGCCCUUGACUUGGGAUAACUUCAGGAAACUGGGGCUAAUACCGGAUAGGAGCUCCUGCUGCAUGGUGGGGGUUGGAAAGUUUCGGCGGUUGGGGAUGGACUCGCGGCUUAUCAGCUUGUUGGUGGGGUAGUGGCUUACCAAGGCUUUGUCGGGUAGCCGGCCUGAGAGGGUGACCGGCCACAUUGGGACUGAGAUACGGCCCAGACUCCUACGGGAGGCAGCAGUGGGGAAUAUUGCACAAUGGGCGGAAGCCUGAUGCAGCAACGCCGCAUGCGGGAUGACGGCCUUCGGGUUGUAAACCGCUUUCGCCUGUGACGAAGCGUGAGUGACGGUAAUGGGUAAAGAAGCACCGGCUAACUACGUG